RNAcentral lists this non-coding RNA (531 nucleotides) under Vairimorpha ceranae BRL01. Its description in RNAcentral is "Nosema ceranae BRL01 Eukaryotic large subunit ribosomal RNA". It matches the Rfam family "Eukaryotic large subunit ribosomal RNA", at positions 863 to 1423 of the family's 3401-position model. Lineage: Eukaryota; Fungi; Microsporidia; Nosematidae. The record is from Rfam by way of RNAcentral.
UUUAUUGGAAGACCAUAAUCAUUCUGACGUGCAAAUCGAUGAUUUAAGAUGUGUAUAGUGGCGAAAGACCAAUCGAACUGUGUGGUAGCUGGUUCACAGCGAAAUGUCUCUCAGGACAGCAGUCAUUAUUUUUUUAUAUAGGACAUAGAUGUAGGACACUGUUAUAAUAUUUAUAUUAUGAGAAAUCUUUAAUUCUAUGGAAUUUUAUAAAUUAAUUUUAUAAAAUAGUAUCUAUUAUUUUAUGACUAGUGGGCACAUGAUUGUAAGAAUGAUGUGCAAAAAGGGAUGAACCUUAUGAAACAUUAAAUAUUCUAAAUAGUAGAUAUUAUACCAUAAAUAUGAUGAAUACAUUGAGACAGUGGGGCGGUUGUUAUGGAAGUAGAAAUCCGCUAAGAAACGUGUUACAACGUACCUACCGAAUGUAUUAUUGUAUAAAAUGGAAGAAGAUUACUACUUUUAUGAGAUGUUUCUGUUGUAUUUAUUUAUCAGGUAGCUGUGCAAUUUGUUUGUAUUGAAGUAUAUAUGUGAAUA